AUGGGAAUUAACAGCCUAACAGGAGAAAUUCCAGAAAAUAUUGGCCAUACCCUUCAAAGCAUCCAGACAUUCAUUGUUCAAGGAAACAGAUUUGGAGGUAUUAUUCCCACUUCAAUGGCCAAGGCCAGAAAUCUUCAGAGCAUUAAUCUUUGUGACAAUGCAUUCCAUGGUAUUGUUCCUUAUUUUGGGUCUUUGCCCAACUUAACCGAACUAAAUCUAGGCAAGAACCAACUCGAAGCUGGCGACUGGACUUUCCUCCACUCGCUCACCAGUUGUACAAAGCUAGUAAGUUUACGUUUAGAUGAAAAUAACCUACAAGGUGAACUGCCAAAGUCCAUAGGCGAUCUUCCAAAAAGCUUAGAAUCUCUGAUCUUGACAGCAAAUAAAAUAUCUGGUACCAUACCACACGAGAUAGGGAACCUUAGUAGCCUCAAACUUCUUUACAUAGAGCACAAUUUGCUUACUGGAACCCUUCCGUACUCACUUGGAAACCUUUCCAACAUGUUCGUUCUAAGAUUAUCAGGAAACAAGCUAUCUGGCCAAAUCCCACUUUCAAUUCGUAAACUUGGUCAACUAAGUGAGCUCUAUUUGCAGCAAAAUAAUUUGAGCGGGCCCAUCCCAGUAGCUUUAGCACAGUGCAAUAAGUUACACACCCUAAACCUCUCUUGCAACUCAUUUGAUGGAACAAUACCAAAAGAACUGUUCACUAUUUCCACACUUGCUGAAGGUCUUGAUCUGUCUCACAACAAACUCUCUGGACAUAUACCAGUGGAGAUUGGCAAAUUAAUCAACCUUUCCCCCCUCGAUAUUUCCAACAACCUGUUGACUGGAGAAAUUCCCUCAACUUUGGGCGACUGCCUCCAUUUAGAAUCCCUCCACCUGGAAGGUAAUCUACUUGAUGGGCGAAUCCCUCAAUCUUUCGCUGCACUGAAAGGCAUCAGUGACAUGGACCUUUCUCGAAACAACUUGUCUGGUCAAGUUCCAGACUUCUUUGAGGCUUUCAGCUCCCUGUCACUUCUCAAUUUGUCAUUCAACAACCUGGAGGGACCCAUGCCAACUGGUGGGAUCUUCCAAAAUGCAAGCAAGGUGUUUGUCCAAGGGAACAAAGAGUUGUGUGCUGUCUCCCCACUAUUGAGAUUGCCACUUUGCCAUACAGCUGCAUCUCAACAAAGGCACAGAUUCCACAUUCUGAAGAUAAUGGGAUUAUCUGCUCUUGUCUUAGUCAUGUUAUCAUGUAUUGGACUCAUUUUUUUAAAGAAGGGAAAGAAAGCGAAGCAAGAAGAUCAUCCAUCCGUCGAGGAGUUAAAGAAAUUCACAUAUGCUGAUUUAGUGAAAGCAACAAAUGGUUUCUCUUUAGCCAACUUGGUUGGUUCAGGAAAGUAUGGGUCCGUAUACAAAGGUAGAAUUGAGUCUGAAGAACAUGCAGUUGCGAUCAAAGUUUUCAAACUUGAUCAGCCUGGAGCAACGAAAAGCUUCGUUGCUGAAUGCCAGGCACUCAGAAGUACUCGUCAUCGUAAUCUUGUAAGGGUGAUCACAGUAUGCUCGACAAGUGACCUGACAGGAAAUGAGUUCAAAGCUCUUCUCCUUGAAUAUAUGGUUAACGGCAACCUUGAAAGUUGGCUCCAUCCAACACUCCACGAGCAUCAUCUGAAAAGGCCCUUGUCUUUGGGUUCAAGAAUAGCAAUAGCAGUAGACAUAGCAGCUGCUUUGGAUUACCUGCAUAACCAUUGCAUGCCUCCUAUGACACACUGUGAUCUGAAGCCAAGCACCUGUGUUCUGGAUGAUGUCAUGGGCGCAUGUGUUGGUGACUUCGGGUUGACUAAGUUUGUACACAGUUAUACUUCUUCUAGGAUUGAUGGUUCUACGAGCUUAGUGGGACCAAGAGGAUCAGUUGGAUACAUUGCACCAGAAUAUGGCUUUGGGAGCAAAAUCUCUACCGAGGGUGAUAUUUACAGCUUUGGAGUCAUCGUCUUAGAAAUGCUCACAGGGAAGCGUCCAACUGAUGAGAUGUUUAAAGAUGGCCUGAGCCUUUACAAUUUUGUUGAAAAAUCAUUUCCUGAAAAGAUUGGCGAGAUUCUAGAUCCGAGAAUCAUUCCCUAUUAUGCGGACCAAGACGGAGAAGCAGGCAGGGCUGUAGAUCAAGAAAAUCAUCAUCAAAUGGCUGGAAUGAGCUGCAUCAUCAAGCUCGUUAAGAUUGGCCUCAUGUGCGCUGCAGAGACACCCAAAUAUCGUCCCUCAAUGCAGGAUGUUUACGUUGAGGUCACCGCAAUCAAAGAUGCAUUUUCAGCACUGCAGGGUUGA
This 2301-nucleotide ribosomal RNA is filed under the name Triticum aestivum (bread wheat). Its description in RNAcentral is "partial small subunit ribosomal RNA". The record is from RNAcentral. Lineage: Eukaryota; Viridiplantae; Streptophyta; Magnoliopsida; Poales; Poaceae.